Intoshia linei is the source of this 72-nucleotide transfer RNA. It matches the Rfam family "tRNA". From Rfam's summary of the family: Transfer RNA (tRNA) molecules are approximately 80 nucleotides in length. Their secondary structure includes four short double-helical elements and three loops (D, anti-codon, and T loops). The record is from Rfam. Lineage: Eukaryota; Metazoa; Orthonectida; Rhopaluridae.
UCCCAUGUGGUCCAAUGGUUAGGAUUCGGCGCUCUCACCGCCGCGGCCGGGGUUCAAUUCCCCGCAUGGGAG